AGGUUUAGCAUAGCCUACUCCAAUCUCCCAUCACCAUGAAGCCAUUCCUUGUGUGCUUUCUCUUGAUUUCAGUCCUCCUCUCUCCCUCUUGCGUUAGUGCUCGAGAGCUGACUCAAAAUGAAGAAAUGAGUAGCGAUAAGGUGGGCUUUAUAGCAGGGAAUUUACCUGAUCCACCUUCUACAAGCAAGUGCAAUCCCGGAUCAAGGGACUGUAAAAGAAUGCAUAAAAGUCCACCCAGCCCCAAAAUAUAUAAAAGCCCACACAAUCCACCUCCCAGCCCCAAAAUAUAUAAAAGCCCACACAAUCCACCUCCCAGCCCCAAAAUAUAUAAAAGCCCACACAAUCCACCACCCAGCCCCAAAAUAUAUAAAAGCCCAUACAGUCCACCUCCCAGCCCCAAAAUAUAUAAAAGCCCACGCAUUCCACCACCCAGCCCCAAAAUAUAUAAAAGCCCACGCAUUCCACCUCCCAGCCCCAAAAUAUAUAAAAGCCCACACAAUCCACCACCCAGCCCCAAAAUAUAUAAAAGCCCACGCAUUCCACCUCCCAGCCCCAAAAUAUAUAAAAGCCCACACAAUCCACCACCCAGCCCCAAAAUAUAUAAAAGUCCAUACAGUCCACCACACAGCCCCUACCACCCACCAGGCCCUUGAAACUGAGAAGAAGCUCAACAAGCUCGACAGGCAUUGUAUCUAAGGCUUAGUAUGUAUGAAGGAGGUUGAUUUGGAGUCGGUGGUUUCAAGUGUUGGAUUAUAUAUAUACAAUCCAGAAGUACUAUGUAUUACCAGUUUGAUUGAUUAAUGAUAGAAUUGUUUCUGUUUCUUCCUUUCUGA
Long non-coding RNA from Vitis riparia (riverbank grape), 833 nucleotides. RefSeq lists it as uncharacterized. The record is from RefSeq and is a predicted model, not a curated record. The transcript is spliced from 2 exons. Lineage: Eukaryota; Viridiplantae; Streptophyta; Magnoliopsida; Vitales; Vitaceae.